Molecule: ribosomal RNA, 483 nt
Filed under: uncultured bacterium
Lineage: Bacteria
Description: bacterial SSU rRNA
Rfam family: Bacterial small subunit ribosomal RNA
Source: RNAcentral
CUACGUGCCAGCAGCCGCGGUAAUACGGAGGGUGCGAGCGUUAAUCGGAAUAACUGGGCGUAAAGGGCACGCAGGCGGUGACUUAAGUGAGGUGUGAAAGCCCCGGGCUUAACCUGGGAAUUGCAUUUCAUACUGGGUCGCUAGAGUACUUUAGGGAGGGGUAGAAUUCCACGUGUAGCGGUGAAAUGCGUAGAGAUGUGGAGGAAUACCGAAGGCGAAGGCAGCCCCUUGGGAAUGUACUGACGCUCAUGUGCGAAAGCGUGGGGAGCAAACAGGAUUAGAUACCCUGGUAGUCCACGCUGUAAACGAUGUCGAUUUGGGGGUUGAACUAUAAGUUUGGCGCCCGUAGCUAACGUGAUAAAUCGACCGCCUGGGGAGUACGGCCGCAAGGUUAAAACUCAAAUGAAUUGACGGGGGCCCGCACAAGCGGUGGAGCAUGUGGUUUAAUUCGAUGCAACGCGAAGAACCUUACCUACUCUUGAC